AACGAACGCUGGCGGCAUGCCUAACACAUGCAAGUCGAACGAGACCUUCGGGUCUAGUGGCGCACGGGUGCGUAACGCGUGGGAACCUGCCCUUAGGUUCGGAAUACCUCCCCGAAAGGGGUGCUAACACCGGAUAAUGUCUUCGGACCAAAGAUUUAUCGCCUUUGGUUGGGCCCGCGUUGGAUUAGCUAGUUGGUAGGGUAAAAGCCUACCAAGGCGACGAUCCAUAGCUGGUCUGAGAGGAUGAUCAGCCACACUGGGACUGAGACACGGCCCAGACUCCGACGGGAGGCAGCAGUGGGGGAUAUUGGACCAUGGGCGAAAGCCUGAUCCAGCACUGCCGCGUGAGUGAUGAAGGCCUUAGGGAUGUAAAGCUCUUUUACCCGGGAAGGUAAUGACAGUACCGAGUGAAUAAGCUCCGGCUAACUCCGUG
This 433-nucleotide ribosomal RNA is filed under the name uncultured bacterium. Its description in RNAcentral is "partial 16S ribosomal RNA". It matches the Rfam family "Bacterial small subunit ribosomal RNA", at positions 29 to 507 of the family's 1533-position model. The record is from RNAcentral.